This 4488-nucleotide long non-coding RNA is filed under the name Malus domestica (apple). RNAcentral describes it as "long non-coding RNA (MDOM_LNC006031)". Lineage: Eukaryota; Viridiplantae; Streptophyta; Magnoliopsida; Rosales; Rosaceae. The record is from RNAcentral.
AAAAACAAAGAUUACAAGAAGUAGACAUUGAAAUAUAAGAUAGAAUACACCUAAAAUUGUUCAACAACUCAGAACCAAACAAUUUUCAUGAACUGUCUCCUUCUCUUCUCCUUGCGGCAGAUUGGGUGAGGAUGAUUUCUGGGGGGUUUGUGUGAUGUAGAAUGGAUUAUGGAUGGUGUAGGGGCACGGCAAGGCUUGGGGGUAGUGUAUGGGUGUUGUGUGGAAGGUGUGGAGAUGAAGAAUGGUGGUGGAAAUCGGCAGAGAUGGAGGAGGAAUGGUUUCUGAGGUUGUGGAUGGGGUUUGACGAAUUUGGGAGAGUGUGUGGCUGAAUGGAGAUGUUUGUGGCUGCACAAACCUGUUUAUUUAAAGGGAUUAGGAAAUUAAAAACCCUAGGCUAAUUAGGUAAUCAGGAAUUAAGUUUAAAACUUCUAGAAUUAAGGAAACAAAUCAGAAAAUUAAAAGGAAAGGUCAAGGAAAUUCGGCCAGGGUUUAAAGCAUAAAAAGGAAGGUGUUUUAAUGCUCCAAAACAGGAAAGAGCCCUCUCCCUUGCACGGCAAGGAAGAGGAAAGGGCAAGGGAGUGUGGCAAGGGGUCCAUAAGGGUUCUAGGCUUUUGUUUUGUGUCCUAGAAUGCUUAGAAAAUCUUCAUAAUUGCUGGAACUUUUAGGGACAAUUAGGAAAAAUCAAACCAAAGUAGGAAACCUUGGCUUAACUUUCCUACUUCAAGUAGGAAUCCUUGUUGGAGUAGGAAUCCUUGUUCUUCUAGGAAUCCUCUUGUGAUUAGGAAUCCAUCUUCAAUUAGGAAUCCUUCGUCAAUUAGGAAUCCUUCGUUGAUUAGGAAUCCUCCUUCAUGUAAGCACUUUCCUACUUCAACUAGGAAACCUUGUUCAAGUAGGAAUCAUCAUCUUCAAGCCUUCAAAUUCGUCCAAACCUUGGCUCCAAAUAUGUGACAUGCAUUCCAAACUCCAUUUUGCUUCUUUUUGCACACUUUGACCUUAGAACCUGAAAACACACAAAAGUGACUUUAAACACUAAAAUAGCUAAGUAAACACAACCUAAAUGCACGAGAACAAGCCAAUUAAGUAGCAUAAAUAUGCUCCUAUCAAAUUCCCCCACACUUAGCUUUUGCUAGUCCUCGAGCAAAACAAACAAAAGGAAGGAAACAAAACGAAACAAACUAACCAAAACAAAACCUAAACCUUCCAACGUUUGCCUCAGGGAUUUCCAAUGCACAUGACAUGUUAAAGAUUGUUAUCCCCACAGAUUUGAGUCAUCUUUACACAAGCACAUACUUAAUUAAAGCCACUACUUACUAGUUCACAAGUAAUCAAUUAAAACAAUGCUUUGAAUGUAGUAACAUGCCUUAGAGAAUUCCCUCAAUUCCUUACAAGAUAUACACUCUAUUUUCACUUAGAUUUUCUAACUACACACCCUACACUAGUCAUAUGUGAGAAGAUUGAUGUAGAUAUGAAAACGAAUGCUCACAUAUAUGUAUCACAAAGAACGCAAUUUCUAGAGUUAAGAAGCAUGUUUAGAUAUGAUCUCAUGAAUGGAAUGCUACUACUUAGAUGCGAGAACCAGUGACACCAUAUGCUCAUACCAAAUUCAAACUCCACAAAUUGAAACACAUAACACUCAAGAUAGAAGUUAAGGGUUGUAAUGGGGCUUGGGUAUUGGCUAACAAGGAAAGGAAAGGGAAAACAAACGUUCUUCAAGCAAUAGUAAGCAAAGCAAUGAAAUUGAGACUUAGAAUUCACUUAGAUUGCAGAAAUUAACUUGAAAACACAAUUUGAAAGUUUCAGGGACUUUGAAUUUGGCCAGAUUUACUACGAUGGUUGUAAUUUGUCCCGUGUCAUCAAACUCAACUUCUUUGGGCUUUGUUGUUUCAAAUACGUCAUCUUUGAUGAAUUCUUGAUAUUCUCCAGCCACUACUUUCUCUUGAAUCAUUCUUCUUGGUGUACAAAGUCCUUUGAACAAUUCAACACAAUCUAGAACUUGCUUUGUUGCACUAAGAAUUGGAAUAUCAUUUUGCACCUUGGGAAGAGCUUCCACAAUGUCUUUUUCACUCUCUUCUUGCUUGGGAAUCAAAAACCUGCGAGUAAAAGGGACAUUGGGUGGAAUAGGGUUAGAAUUAACGAAAAUUGGACCCAACUUACCUAUAUUGGACAGUGGUGGAGCAUUGGGAGGCUGCGGCAAGGGUAGUGGAGCAAGGGUAGGCUGCGGCAAGGGUGGUUCUUCCCUUGCCGUGGCCUUGUCAUCCUCUUCUUCUUCGAACAACAGUUGUUCAUCCAUGUUUUGGAUUGGUUUGGACGUUUUUGGGCUUAUUCCAACCUCCAUGCCACUUUCCAAAGUGAUAGCAUCAUGGAUUUCAAAAUUUUCCUUCGACUUUUCAACAGUUGAGUUGGAGAGUUCACUUAGCUCUUGAAUUUGUACCAUGAAUUCCAUAAUCUCUCCCAUUUGACUCUUCAAUUUAUCCAACUUCUUGUCUUGAUUUUGUUGGUCCUGCAUCAAAGAGGUUAGUACUUGAAGAAUUUGAUCACUAUCCAUGGACGUACUUGAAUUUGAUUGGAAUUGUUGUGGGGUAUGCGGUGGUGGCUGCAUAGGCGUGGUGUAGAACUCCUCAUAUGGCUGCCAAUAUGCAUCUUGUUGAGCCUCCUUGGCUUGAUUUUGUGAGCCCUGCACCAAACAAUUUAAUUCCUUAAGAAUCUGAUUAUAAUCUAUUGACGAACCUGAGUUUAAUUGAGCAUAUUGCAUAGGUCUUGAAUAGAACUCCUCCUCUUGCUGCCAAUAUCCAUCUUGUUGGAAUUGUUGAGGUUCCCCCCACAUAUAAUUUGAAUGAUCUCUCCAAGCCGAAUUGUAAGUGUUGGAAAACAUGUUGUUGCUUGGUUGAUCAUAGCCUUGAUAAAUUCACGCAUCUUCGUUCACAGUGAAUUGAGGAUGUUGAUGAGUUUGAUAUUCGUGCCCAUAUGACACACCAAAUGUAGGGACACUUUGCAUUGUUGUCCUUCCGGCAAUUUGUGACAAUUGAGAAGUAAGAUUCGCCAAUUGAGCUUGAAUGUUAGCAAAAUCCAUGUCUUACUUCUCUAGUACCUGAAAUCAAAGAAACAAAACUAUAUCAAAUAUCAAAAGUAAAUAAAACAAAGCAAAACCAAAUUAGUAACUAAAACAAAACACACAAAAAAGAAAUAAAAAGAAACAACGAGGGAUUAGCAAAGUUGCUAAUCCCCGGCAACGGCGCCAAAAACACUCAAAACUGCCUUAAAACACUUUCUGGGCAGUUUUGGGACUCUAAUGCAAACUUGGACGAAUUUUGGUUUUCUAAUGACCUGAAACACUUAAAAACAUAAUCUAAGACAAGUUCUAACUAAUAUAAAUCAAAGAAAUAAAGUGGGGUUGAUUUUGGACGAAUUUAAAUUAAAUGGCAGAUUGUAAAGAAAACAGUAGACAAAAUUGUGAUGAAUUAAUGAAUGAUGGAAGAGCUAAGGGGUUCUUCUCCACACAUGAAAUAUAUGCAACGUAAAUCAAUUUCCAGUUAUCAAUUCAAUAAGUUGUGAACCUCGACACUCCAAGUUAAUUAGGUCCGCUUAAAUUAACUUUCAGAUUUCCCUAGAAUCAUUGAAUUGGAUGAAUAUGCAUCGCAAACAAAUUAUUCCUAACAAGUUCUCUAUAUGAACAGCAUGAUAAAGAUACAAGUUAGAAUCAUUAAGUUCUUUGGAAAUCAUAAGCAUCGACAAGGCAAUUGUAACUAUGAAAAGCAUGAUACUCCUGCCUGCCAUGAAUCUACUUAACACGAUCGUGACUAGCGAUCUUCACUACUUGCGAAUAUAAAUUCAUAACGAUUAGGUGUAACAAACUUAUAUUCUAGCACCAAAUUCCAGCAUGCAAAUCAAGCGUGCACUCUCUAUCAACAUACAAGAAUAAGUUUUGAAUUAAACGGUUAAGCAAAUUGUAUUCACGACUUAUGCAACGAUAACUGGAAGUAAUCAACUUAUUUCACAUAAAUAAACAUGGUUUCGAAUACACCCUUAGCCAAAACGAAUUUAGCCAAUCAUACUCAAUGAAAAACAAAGAUUACAAGAAGUAGACAUUGAAAUAUAAGAUAGAAUACACCUAAAAUUGUUCAACAACUCAGAACCAAACAAUUUUCAUGAACUGUCUCCUUCUCUUCUCCUUGCGGCAGAUUGGGUGAGGAUGAUUUCUGGGGGGUUUGUGUGAUGUAGAAUGGAUUAUGGAUGGUGUAGGGGCACGGCAAGGCUUGGGGGUAGUGUAUGGGUGUUGUGUGGAAGGUGUGGAGAUGAAGAAUGGUGGUGGAAAUCGGCAGAGAUGGAGGAGGAAUGGUUUCUGAGGUUGUGGAUGGGGUUUGACGAAUUUGGGAGAGUGUGUGGCUGAAUGGAGAUGUUUGUGGCUGCACAAACCUGUUUAUUUAAAGGGAUUAGGAAAUUAAAAACCCUAGGCUAAUUAGGUAAUCAGGAAUUAAGUUUAAAGCUUCU